GAGAAGUUAGUUUAGUAUAAAAUAUAAAUCUGUCAGAUUUAAGUCACUUUAAAGUAUUUCUUU
RNAcentral lists this transfer RNA (63 nucleotides) under Babras sonorivox. RNAcentral describes it as "tRNA-Asp". Lineage: Eukaryota; Metazoa; Arthropoda; Insecta; Hemiptera; Cicadidae. The record is from RNAcentral.